UACAGAGGUCCCAAGCGUUGUUCGGAUUCACUGGGCGUAAAGGGUGCGUAGGUGGUGAGGUAAGUCGGAUGUGAAAUCUCCAAGCUCAACUUGGAAACUGCAUUGGAAACUACCUUGCUAGAGGAUUUGAGGGGGGAUUGGAAUACUUGGUGUAGCAGUGAAAUGCGUAGAUAUCAAAGUGGAACACCAGUGGCGAAGGCGAAUCCCUGGAAAAUACCUGACACUGAGGCACGAAAGCUAGGGGAGCAAACAGG
Molecule: ribosomal RNA, 254 nt
Filed under: uncultured bacterium
Lineage: Bacteria
Description: partial 16S ribosomal RNA
Rfam family: Bacterial small subunit ribosomal RNA
Source: RNAcentral